This 292-nucleotide ribosomal RNA is filed under the name uncultured bacterium. RNAcentral's name for it is "partial 16S ribosomal RNA". It matches the Rfam family "Bacterial small subunit ribosomal RNA", at positions 505 to 796 of the family's 1533-position model. The record is from RNAcentral.
GUGUCAGCAGCCGCGGUAAUACAGGGGGGGCAAGCGUUGUUCGGAAUUACUGGGCGUAAAGGGUUCGUAGGCGGCCAACUAAGUCACACGUGAAAUCCCCAGGCUUAACCUGGGAACUGCGUGUGAUACUGGAUGGCUUGAAUCCGGGAGAGGAAUGCGGAAUUCCAGGUGUAGCGGUGAAAUGCGUAGAUAUCUGGAGGAACACCGGUGGCGAAGGCGGCAUUCUGGACCGGUAUUGACGCUGAUGAACGAAAGCCAGGGGAGCAAACGGGAUUAGAUACCCCAGUAGUCC